Molecule: small RNA, 1421 nt
Filed under: Monomorium pharaonis (pharaoh ant)
Lineage: Eukaryota; Metazoa; Arthropoda; Insecta; Hymenoptera; Formicidae
Description: uncharacterized LOC105838910, transcript variant X5
Source: RNAcentral
UUAAUGUUCUUGUUUCUUGCUGUCACGUAAAACCGCCGUGCAACGUGGCGCAAUCGAUGAGAAUUACUCCGCUACUAUUGCGCGAGGGUCAAGCGACCGGUGACGUAUUGCACCUGUCGAUCGAGACUUGCAUCAGAUGGACGGAAAAUGGAAUAUUCUGAUUUAUUCGCUGAUCCCACGAUUUACAUAUUGUCGCCGUUAGAUGUCGCACCGAGUGCCACCUAGCGUCCCGAUUAGUCGAUCGAUACGAGGGCGAGACACACUUUUGGUGCCGUACAUGCGUGGAUGGAGAAGAAGCUGUUCACGAGUUAUCCAUUGUAAAUCGUGGAAUCCGGAAGAUAUAUGUUAAUCGCAGUUGGUAACCGACGCUUAUUCGGUAUAAAGAACUUACCUACAGAUCCAUAUUGAUGAUAUCAUUGAGCGAAAGGUGGCGACACAAGUCUAACUUGACGAGAUUGAUGGGAUAUCAUUGGACUCCGUGGUCGAAUCGCUUCCAAUUUGAAGGGGAUCGAGUGUCAUAAAGAUGACGAGAAACGGAAGUGGAUGGCAGAAGUCAACUUGUUCGAGCAAGGUACAAUAAUGUCCUGCUAAUGAUGACAGUAGCCCAUGUUGACUUAACCCGUCGCCGUGAUGGACGUUGCAGUAUAUUAGGAGCAGCAUUUAUGACAGAUACGUCACGCGAAUAUGUCAGCCAUACGUAGCGGAAGAUUAGGCCCGUUCUUUGAGAUCAAAUCUGGCAAGAAGACGUACAAGUGUCAGUAAAUUCAAAUAUUAUAGCUAGAGAGCUUUCAGAAUACAAGAUGGCCGCCAGAAUGAGGAAUAAAAAAUCCAAGGCAUUUCGGAAUAUGAAGAUUAAAGCCAAUGGAGCUAGAAGUUAACGAAUCUAAUUGCUGAAGAUGGGCAUAGAUUUGAUAAUUAGAAAAUAUUUGGCAUCCCACGAAGUACGAUCUAUCGGAGAUAAUUUCUUGGAGACCUCGUGCGAUACAUUUAUAAAGCAACUACAGAGGAUGUAAAUCUGCUGGCAAACUCAGAAUACGAGGUUUGCAAUAUAAGGUAUCUCCUUAUAUGUUGGAAGAUAUCGAUGCACAGUAAAACAGAAAAUAGAAUGCAAAGGAGAAUUAACUUUUUCCGGAGCAGGUUCUCUUCUCAGGGCUGGUUGUUUCAACUUCUUGGUAAACUUAUUUACCAGGUAAGCAUGUGUCUAUUUUUAUUUUUUUCUUAUAUAAAUAAAGGCAAACAUAUAUUUAUCUGAUAGGUAAGUUUACCAAGAAGUUGGAAGAACAAUCAAUCCUCAGAGACAGGUAUUCGCAAUUAGUUGCAGUGCUGCGUUGGUAAAGUAGUGAUGCAUACUCAAUCAUUUAUUGCUUAAAAAAAAUUUAUUUAUAAAUAAAUUUACUUAUUUAUAAAUAAAACUGAUUGAU